This 459-nucleotide ribosomal RNA is filed under the name uncultured bacterium. RNAcentral's name for it is "partial 16S ribosomal RNA". It matches the Rfam family "Bacterial small subunit ribosomal RNA", at positions 338 to 795 of the family's 1533-position model. The record is from RNAcentral.
CCUACGGGGGGCAGCAGUGAGGAAUAUUGGUCAAUGGUCGGAAGACUGAACCAGCCAAGCCGCGUGAAGGAUGAAGGUACAGAGUAUCGUAAACUUCUUUUGUCAGGGAACAAAGUCGGGGACGUGUCCCCGGCUGAGUGUACCUGAAGAAAAAGCAUCGGCUAACUCCGUGCCAGCAGCCGCGGUAAUACGGAGGAUGCGAGCGUUAUCCGGAUUUAUUGGGUUUAAAGGGUGCGCAGGCGGACUGUUAAGUCAGCGGUCAAAGCCCGGGGCUCAACCCCGGCCCGCCGUUGAAACUGGCAGUCUCGAGUUGGAGAGAGGUAUGCGGAAGGCGCGGUGUAGCGGUGAAAUGCAUAGAUAUCGCGCAGAACUCCGAUUGCGAAGGCAGCAUGCCGGCUCCACACUGACGCUGAGGCACGAAAGCGUGGGUAUCGAACAGGAUUAGAUACCCUUGUAGUC